Molecule: non-coding RNA, 28 nt
Filed under: Mus musculus (house mouse)
Lineage: Eukaryota; Metazoa; Chordata; Mammalia; Rodentia; Muridae
Source: RNAcentral
UGUCCUAACAUGAACUACAUUUUCAGUA